Molecule: non-coding RNA, 206 nt
Organism: Oryza meridionalis
Lineage: Eukaryota; Viridiplantae; Streptophyta; Magnoliopsida; Poales; Poaceae
Source: Rfam
AAUAAACAUAGUUUUAUAUUUUUCAUAUCCAAUGUUUGACCGUCCGUCUUAUUUAAAUAUUUUUUAAUUUAUAUUUUUAUUUUUAUUAGAUGAUAAAACAUAAAUAGUAUUUUAUAUAUGACUAAUUAGUUUUAACUUUUUUUUAUAAUUUUUUUAAAUAAGGUGGACGUUUAAAUAUUGAACACGGAUUUAUGGCUGGACUUAGG